Molecule: long non-coding RNA, 573 nt
Filed under: Salmo salar (Atlantic salmon)
Lineage: Eukaryota; Metazoa; Chordata; Actinopteri; Salmoniformes; Salmonidae
Description: lncRNA (ENSSSAG00000114992.1)
Source: RNAcentral
AAUAACACACUGCUUCUACUGCUGCUGUUCUGUUCCUCCUUCCUUCCAUCCACCCCUCCCUGGGUCUGGUCUCUGGGUUGGACUGUCGGUGUGCUUCUGAUUAAAGACAAUGAUACGGACCCGGAGAUGAAGAGUGCCAGGAGAACCUAUCAGAGAGCACUGGGUGUAAGGGAUUGGUGGAUGUGAAGUGCACCUGGUCAUUGAAGUGCGUUAGCAGAUCCCAGUAUGUCCCCUAGUCUUGUGAACAAGGGAUGAAAAGGAGAGAAAAAAAGGUCUGAUGAGUUUGGCAAAGGGAGGAUGGAGGGGGAGACAGAUGGCAUGAAGUCUGUGUGGCUCUGGCCUGGCGCUAAAAUCCUCCUCUCUCACAUUCCAACAAAUCCUAGCAGGAGGCUGGGGAGUCUGCCACACCACUCAGUGGAUCCACGGGGUUCUCUCUGCGUCUCUCUCCUCGCUCCCCUGCACCCCUCGUAAGUCCCUGACCAAGGGUGUCAGCCCCCCAAUACCAUAUAACCACACCUAUAAAUAUAUUAAAGGGAUACUUCAGGAUUAAAGAGGCCCUUUAUCUACUUGCCC